GGUUUGGUAGCUUAAUUGGUAAAGCACUUGUCUAGCGUAUAAGGGUCGUGAGCUUAAAUCUGACCUGCUCUU
Non-coding RNA from Aedes albopictus (Asian tiger mosquito), 72 nucleotides. Lineage: Eukaryota; Metazoa; Arthropoda; Insecta; Diptera; Culicidae. The record is from Rfam.